Gadus macrocephalus (Pacific cod) is the source of this 2480-nucleotide RNA transcript. It is a transcript of the gene named potassium channel tetramerization domain containing 17, with no coding region annotated. NCBI's taxonomy places the organism in Eukaryota, Metazoa, Chordata, Actinopteri, Gadiformes, Gadidae. The record is from RefSeq and is a predicted model, not a curated record. The transcript is spliced from 7 exons.
CGGAGGCGGGUUGGUUCGGGCGAUGGUUUGGACCGAAAAGGGCGGAGCAUUCUCGGCUGCUGAACGGGAGGAAGCUUGUGGACGCGAACAUUUGCGUCAGUCUUCGUCAACUUGUGUCCGUUACAAUUUCCCCAAUGGCAACAGAAGAUAGACGGGAACCGGUGCCAAAUGCUUUAUCAGAGGUCGGUAUGCUGAAGACGACGCACCACGGCCACAACAACAAUAACAACAACAACAACAACAAUAACAACAACAAAGACAGCGAGGGAACUGAUAGCACUACAACAACGGCUACCGCUACGGCGACCGCCACUGAAUCCAGCGGGAUAGCAACGCAGAGCAUCGGGAACGGCUCUGGGAUCAACCCCACUGGGGGGAACAGCGGGAAAUGGGUCCGCUUGAACGUCGGCGGCACGGUGUUCCUCACAACGCGGCAUACCCUUCUCAAAGAACAAACUUCCUUUCUUUACAGGCUCUGUCAACAGCAGGACUUGCACUCAGACACGGACGAGACGGGGGCGUACGUCAUCGACAGAGACCCCACCUACUUCGGCCCCAUCCUCAACUACCUGCGGCACGGAAAACUGGUCUACAACAAGGAGCUGGCGGAGGAAGGGGUGCUUGAGGAGGCUGAGUUCUACAACAUCACCCCUCUAAUCAAGCUGAUCAAGGAGAGGAUCCUGGAGAGGGACUCAAAGGCCACACAGCAGGUGCCCCCUAAGCACGUGUACCGGGUGCUGCAAUGCCAGGAGGAGGAGCUCACCCAGAUGGUGUCCACCAUGUCCGACGGCUGGAAGUUUGAGCAGGUCAGCGUGCGCACCUGCAGAAAGCCCCGCACCGGACUGCUCUGGACUAUGGUGAACAUCGGCUCGUCAUACAGCUAUGGCACUGAGGACCAGGCUGAGUUCCUGUGUGUGGUCUCCAAGGAGCUGCACACAGCGGGGUCCGGUGUGGCCACCGAGCAGAGCCACAAGACCAAGGUUCCGGAUCUGCAGCAGGAGGGAGCAGCCCGGGCUGAGGAGGAGGAGGAGGAGGUGGAGGAGGAGGAGGAGGAGGAGGAGGAGGCUGAGGAUGAGGAUGAGGAGGAGGUGGAGGUGGAGGGUGGUGGUGGUGGUGCUGGUGAUGGUGCUGGUCAAGCCCAAGAGGCAGGCAGAGGGACCACACCCAAUGAGGUGUGGCUUAGAGAGUGACACUCUCGGGCUGCCAUGUUGCCACACAGACAGACACUGAUGGGUGAGGAUCCAUAGCUAGCGUUUACUAAAGAGCUAGCCUAUGCUAAUGAGCUAGCAUGUGCUAACGAGCUAGCCUGUGCUACCUUAUUUCCUAGCGAGCUAGAGCUAGUAGUUGUCUUACCUUUUGUGUGUGGGUGUUUAUGUGUCUGCUAUAUGUGUGUAUAUAUCUUUGUUUUUAAUCUUUUUAUUUGUUUUUAAUUUAUGGAUAUACUGAUAUAGAGAGAUGGAGAAAUAGAUAGAAAACAGAGUCAUGUAGUGUUUAUAAUUCCAUUUAUAUUUAAAUAUUGUGGAAGUUAAGGGUAUUGCCCGUCAUCAAACUGAGGCAAGGGCUAAGCUAGCAUUUUCAUUUGGAAGCUGCAUGAAAGAGGGCAGGCUUGGUUUUAGCAAUGUGCCCAGUUCAUCAAUAUGACCUGUAGGCGCUUGUGUGUGUGUGUGUGUGUGUGUGUGUGUAUAUUGACCCACUUUGUCCCCUCUAUGGAUUUCCAUCACCAAUGCUGUAUUAUCGAAUAACUCAACCUUUAUGAGCGAGUGGUGUUAGAAUUUGUCCUUUUGAUCACCACACACACGCACACUUAUGUUGGCCCCAUUUCUACCCAGAGAUAUGUAUGUAUGUUGUGAAGGCUUAGAGAGCGGAAACAAGCUUUUGAUUAUUUAUUUUUUUAUAUAAAAUGACUUUUAUUCCAUGUUACUGUCGAUGGACACAUCCUGUCCCUCUGUCCCGACAUGGCCAUGGACAUCUAUAAUACUCUGUUUGGACAUCCUGUCACCAUUACCAUUGCUAUCAUCAACAUCCCAGGCUAAACAUAUAGUUUGAAAUGUAGAAGCAAAAGGCUGUGCUUUGCUCCCUGCUUUGUAUUCAAAACGACUAACUUUCUUCUGGGGUUUUCUUUUCAGCUUUUCCAGAUCCAUGGAUCGAGGAUGUAACAUUUAAAUAGCACACACUCUGACCUUGUUUGCUGUUGGUCGGUGGUAGGAAUAUGCUUGAACGCAACGCGUUUCUGUGACAUCUCAGUGGUUCCCCAUCGGCAUUUCGAUCCUUUUUUGGGGGUUAAAUGCAAUUUGAAUAGCAUUUGAAAAACAUGCUGCUGAAAAAUUGUCGACACUAUUUGGUAACAUGUUCAUCUUAUUGGAAAAUAAAUUGUUUAUCUGAUAAUGUUUACAAAACAUUUCCUCUGCCAGGGGAGGUAGUGAACUUAGUAAAAUUGUUACCAAAGAUCAAAAUUGUUAAAAAGAAACUGAAAAUGUCCU